AUUGAACGCUGGCGGCAGGCCUAACACAUGCAAGUCGAGCGGAUGAAGGGAGCUUGCGCCUGGAUUCAGCGGCGGACGGGGGAGUAAUGCAUAGGAAUCUGCCUGGUAGUGGGGGAUAACGUCCGGAAACGGGCGCGAAUACUACAUACGUGCAGAGGGAGAAAGAGGGGGAGCUUCGGACCUCACGCUAUCAGAUGAGCCUAGGUCGGGUUAGCUAGUUGGUGGGGUAAAGGCCUACCAAGGCGACGAUCCGUAACUGGUCUGAGAGGCUGAUCAGUCACACUGGAGCUGAGACACGGUCCUGACUCCUACGGGAGGCAGCAGUGGGGAAUAUUGGACAAUGGGCGAAAGCCUGGUCCAGCCAUGCCGCGUGUGUGAAGAAGGUCUUCGGAUUGUAAAGCACUUUAAGUUGGGAGGAAGGGCAGUAAGUUAAUACCUUGCUGUUUUGACGUUACCAACAGAAUAAGCACCGGCUAACUUCGUG
This 484-nucleotide ribosomal RNA is filed under the name uncultured bacterium. RNAcentral describes it as "partial 16S ribosomal RNA". It matches the Rfam family "Bacterial small subunit ribosomal RNA", at positions 30 to 507 of the family's 1533-position model. The record is from RNAcentral.